Molecule: ribosomal RNA, 467 nt
Filed under: uncultured bacterium
Lineage: Bacteria
Description: partial 16S ribosomal RNA
Rfam family: Bacterial small subunit ribosomal RNA
Source: RNAcentral
GACGAACGCUGGCGGCGUGCUUAACACAUGCAAGUCGAACGGAAGGGCCCUGCUUUUGUGGGGUGCUCGAGUGGCGAACGGGUGAGUAGCACGUGAGUAACCUGCCCUUGACUUUGGGAUAACUUCAGGAAACUGGGGCUAAUACCGGAUAGGAGCUCCUGCUGCAUGGUGGGGGUUGGAAAGUUUCGGCGGUUGGGGAUGGACUCGCGGCUUAUCAGCUUGUUGGUGGGGUAGUGGCUUACCAAGGCUUUGACGGGUAGCCGGCCUGAGAGGGUGACCGGCCACAUUGGGACUGAGAUACGGCCCAGACUCCUACGGGAGGCAACAGUGGGGAAUAUUGCACAAUGGGCGGAAGCCUGAUGCAGCAACGCCGCGUGCGGGAUGACGGCCUUCGGGUUGUAAACCGCUUUCGCCUGUGACGAAGCGUGAGUGACGGUAGUGGGUAAAGAAGCACCGGCUAACUACGU